RNAcentral lists this ribosomal RNA (253 nucleotides) under uncultured bacterium. RNAcentral's name for it is "partial 16S ribosomal RNA". It matches the Rfam family "Bacterial small subunit ribosomal RNA", at positions 524 to 776 of the family's 1533-position model. The record is from RNAcentral.
UACAGAGGUCCCAAGCGUUGUUCGGAUUCAUUGGGCGUAAAGCGCACGUAGGCGGGUCGUUAAGUCAGGGGUGAAAUCCUGGAGCUCAACUCCAGAACUGCCCUUGAUACUGGCGAUCUCGAGUUCGGGAGAGGUGAGUGGAACUGCGAGUGUAGAGGUGAAAUUCGUAGAUAUUCGCAAGAACACCAGUGGCGAAGGCGGCUCACUGGCCCGAUACUGACGCUGAGGUGCGAAAGCGUGGGGAGCAAACAGG